AUAAGACGAAAAAAUAGUAGUCGAAACCAAGAAUCAAUCCCAAAAGGUCGGAACGAGGUAUGUGGCUUUCAAACUAGGUUCUGGGUUCAUAAAAGACCUGAAUCAGGAACAAGGGCUAUUAGCUCAGGUGGUUAGAGCGCACCCCUGAUAAGGGUGAGGUCCCUGGUUCGAGUCCAGGAUGGCCCACCUGCACAGGUGGCAAAAACAAAGAAAAGAAGCGAGGAAUCAGCACCUUAUCUUACUUAUAUAGUAAGAGAGAAUGCUGGCUCUGAGUACAGAGUCCAGAGGAACCUUGAAAACUGCAUAGAGCUAGGUGAAAAA
Molecule: transfer RNA, 321 nt
Filed under: Microcystis wesenbergii NIES-112
Lineage: Bacteria; Bacillati; Cyanobacteriota; Cyanophyceae; Chroococcales; Microcystaceae
Description: partial miscellaneous RNA
Rfam family: tRNA (bases 113-186)
Source: RNAcentral